This 301-nucleotide ribosomal RNA is filed under the name uncultured bacterium. RNAcentral's name for it is "partial 16S ribosomal RNA". It matches the Rfam family "Bacterial small subunit ribosomal RNA", at positions 509 to 807 of the family's 1533-position model. The record is from RNAcentral.
CAGCAGCCGCGGUAAUACGUAGGGUGCAAGCGUUAAUCGGAAUUACUGGGCGUAAAGCGUGCGCAGGCGGUUAUAUAAGACAGAUGUGAAAUCCCCGGGCUCAACCUGGGAACUGCAUUUGUGACUGUAUAGCUAGAGUACUGCAGAGGGGGAUGGAAUUCCGCGUGUAGCAGUGAAAUGCGUAGAUAUGCGGAGGAACACCGAUGGCGAAGGCAAUCCCCUGGGCCUGUACUGACGCUCAUGCACGAAAGCGUGGGGAGCAAACAGGAUUAGAUACCCCCGUAGUCCCUGUCUCUUAUAC